UACACUGUAAACCAAGCUGGCCUCAAACCCACAGAGCUCCACCUGCCUCUGCCUCUCAAGUGUUGGAAUUAAAGGAGAGGGAGGGAGGAGAAUCACCCUGCUCCCACCUGCAGGGAGAGCCAGAGCCAGAGCCAAGCACCUGGAAGAACCCAGUGUCUCCAUACCUGCCAGCUCACAGUCUCUCCAUGCAGCCUGCCUCUCAGCCAAUCCUUUCAGAUGUUCAAGUUCAGACUCAUGACCUACCCCAGGCUGGCCCAAGUGCCCCUGAAGUUAGCCAUCAUGUGGAGGGUCCCAAUGAAGAGAGAUAAAGGUCCAAGGGAGAUGUGGUGGGA
RNAcentral lists this long non-coding RNA (332 nucleotides) under Mus caroli (Ryukyu mouse). Its description in RNAcentral is "predicted gene 12336 (MGP_CAROLIEiJ_G0004769.1)". The record is from RNAcentral. Lineage: Eukaryota; Metazoa; Chordata; Mammalia; Rodentia; Muridae.